Molecule: long non-coding RNA, 571 nt
Filed under: Dermacentor andersoni
Lineage: Eukaryota; Metazoa; Arthropoda; Arachnida; Ixodida; Ixodidae
Description: uncharacterized LOC126526512
Source: RNAcentral
CUUUCAAAUCUGAGCGAGAGUGGCACUUAGAAAGAAGGCUGGACUUGGAACAAAAGCGACGGCGCAAGGCAGAGAAGGAGAGAGAUGAACUGCGGAAGUCACUCAUUAGUGUCCUUUCUGAGGACCAGGUUCGAGCCUUAGAGAGAAAAACAAUGUAGGGAAGUGCAUGGUCACCAGGCACACUUCAGAAAGCCCUUCACGUAAAAGUUGCUUGUGGCAGCAAGGGCUACAACUUUGUCAAAGAAAACAUUGUUCCCUUACCAGCCGCAAGGACAUUGCAGAAGCACACUGAACACAUCAAGUUCAGACCUGGUAUUCUGGACGAAGUUUUCGUUGCCCUAAAGGAGAAAGUGGCUGCAAGGAGUCCCAGUGAGAGACACGCUUGUGUUUUGAUGGAUGAAAUGCAAAUUUCACCUGGGCUAGAUUAUGAUGCUUCCAUUGGCAGCAUCAUAGGGCAACCAACUAUUGGCCUGUCGAAUCCAGCCUUGAAGCAAGAACUUGCAUCUCAUGCAUUGGUUUUCAUGCUUGGGGGCUUAACAAGCAGGUGGAAGCAAGCAGUUGCUUAUCAUUU